GUGUCAGCCGCCGCGGUAAGACGAACCGUGCGAACGUUAUUCGGAAUCAUUGGGCUUAAAGCGCGCGUAGGCGGCGGCGUAAGCGGGGGGUGAAAGGCUAUCGGCUCAACCGUGGCAUGGCUCUCCGGACUGCGUCGCUUGAGGGGGACAGGGGCACGCGGAACUUCCAGUGGAGCGGUGAAAUGUGUUGAGAUUGGAAGGAACGCCAGUGGCGAAAGCGGCGUGCUGGAUCUCGCCUGACGCUGAGGCGCGAAAGCUAGGGGAGCAAACGGGAUUAGAUACCCCGGUAGUCCUAGCCGUAAACGAUGGGUACUGGGUAGGAAGCGGUCCGAUGCCGCCUCCUGCCGCAGCGAAAGUGUUUAGUACCCCGCCUGGGGAGUAUGGCCGCAAGGCUGAA
RNAcentral lists this ribosomal RNA (397 nucleotides) under uncultured bacterium. Its description in RNAcentral is "bacterial SSU rRNA". It matches the Rfam family "Bacterial small subunit ribosomal RNA", at positions 505 to 898 of the family's 1533-position model. The record is from RNAcentral.